ACGGAGGGUGCAAGCGUUAUUCGGAAUUACUGGGCGUAAAGGGCGUGCAGGCGGGAGAGCAAGUCUGAUGUGAAAGCCCGGGGCUUAACCCCGGAAGGGCCGUGGAAACUGCUUUUCUUGAGUACUGGAGAGGAAGGGAGAAUUCCCGGUGUAGAGGUGAAAUGCGUAGAGAUCGCGAGGAACAUCAGUGGCGAAGGCGCCCCUCAGGACAACAACUGACGCUGAGACGCGAAAGUGUGGGGAGCAAACAG
RNAcentral lists this ribosomal RNA (251 nucleotides) under uncultured prokaryote. Its description in RNAcentral is "partial 16S rRNA". It matches the Rfam family "Bacterial small subunit ribosomal RNA", at positions 525 to 775 of the family's 1533-position model. The record is from RNAcentral.